RNAcentral lists this long non-coding RNA (1456 nucleotides) under Olea europaea subsp. europaea. Lineage: Eukaryota; Viridiplantae; Streptophyta; Magnoliopsida; Lamiales; Oleaceae. The record is from RNAcentral.
UGAAACACGAAUGAAAUGCAAGAAAAAGGGCAGUCUGCAAUUCUUAUUGUAUGUAUAUAUAAAUAUUAUCCCAUCUCUUUGCUUAUUGGGAAGUGAAGGAACCCAUGGAUUUUUUAUUUUAUGUUAUCAGAUAUCACACUGUUUCCUGUAAUUCACUAUGAGUUUACAAACAUCAAUUAUAUUGCUGUCACAUUAUUUACUGUCCAACCUAAAUUGGCUAAUACAUAUUUAAUGUUCAAUGUCAACAUCUCUAUUCCAUUCAUCGAGGCAGAAUUUUAUUGAUUUUGCUAUUUGUGUGAGCCCAAGUGGGAAUGAAUUGUCUGCAAAUAAGGAGUAUCCUCUUACAUCUACUCAAAGGAAGGAGCUUGAAAGACAAGCCAUGAUCUAUAGGGUUUAUUAGCACAAAACAUCCCUACAUUUGGCCUUUAGUGUGCAAAGGUACCCUGCAUUUCAAAUUUUUGCAAUUUUCACCCGUGUGCCUGUUGAUCCUCUCUUUCCUGUACCACCAAGACCUUCAAUUUUCUAUAAAUCGGUUCUUAUUUUUCUUCGAUGAUUUGUUAUUUUUACACUUUUGGUACUCGAUUAGAUGUUGAUUUAAAAAGAUGUAUCUUGGUAUUGGUAUUCAAGUGCAGUGACUGGUCAUCUAGAAAGGUGCAAGUGAAUGGAUGGAAAGAAAUGGAGGUUCUCAAGAGAUGUAGCGCCCUAUCACAAGUACUAUGAGUGCCACUUGUAGAAAAGUUGUCCCCAUUCAAGAAUGCCUGUGGAAGUCAAGAACAACGACAUUGACAAUAAUGAAAAGAAAAGCCCUCUUUUGUUUAAUCAUAAAACUGAUAUAAGCAUUUCUACAUCCUCUAGUAAGAAAUAUAAGAGAUUGAUUUUUAGUAUUUCUACAUCCUCUUGUAUUUCCCAAACUAUUUCCUAGUUUCGUUUCAUGAUGAGGGUAAGGAGUAGGGUGGGGAUGGCACUGGGUAGGAGAGGGAGAGGGAGAGGAAAUUACAAGAUGAAGAUUUUUCUUUUCUUUUUUGGUUUUUUAAUUUAAUAUAUUUGGGAUUUAUUUGUACUUUUUUUCAAAAAUGGGAGUAUGAUUGCAAUUUGUUCUUUUUUUUGCUUUUUAUUUUAUUUAAAUAUAAGGGUAUAUUUUUUAUUUUACAAUUUUUAAUUAAGAAAUUAGAUAAAAACUGAGGAAAAUGAUGGUUUCCACAAUUAAACAUGGAAAUAGGGGUGAAAAUACAAAACAUUGAAACGUAAAAAUAUUUUGCUCACUAAAAAUCAAAUGUAAGUACGUUUUGUACUGAUAAACCUUUCCAAAUUUUAGCUAUGAUUGAGUUUUUUGUUAGGGUGGACUGCAAAUGAGGAAAUAUAGCUUGUCAAACAAAAAGGUGCGGGCCUUUUUAACCUGUAGGCAGCUACAUUUAUCACCCUUUUUCAAGCCUAGGCGGUAGGCAGUGCAAUAAAG